UAAUUACUGUCUUUAAAUUCCGCAUGUUUCCUUAAAAAUUAAAUCUGUUUGAAAGGAGGGGUGUGCCCACUAGGGGAGAUAGUAUGGGUGCCCUCAUGACCUACGUAUUGGGGUCGUGCUAUAGAGAUAGAGAGGGGAAGAGAAGGACCAAGAAUAUGAAACGAUUUUCAUGGUUCAAACAUCAUCUUUUCCAUUUCUUGGGAAGCAAAAUAGAUUCUUGAUGCUAACCUUCAGAAAUUUAUUCACUAUUUUCUUAAUGAGCCAUUCAUCAAAGCCUAGAGGUGUCAUGGCAUCAAUUGCUGCAUCCAUUCUGCUUAAUCACAAAUGAUGGCGUUAUCACUUCAAACUUCAAAAUAGUGCAUUUCCCAUUCCAGCAUGUCCGGUGCUUGUAGAUCAUUUUUGUAGAAGUCUUUUUAUUUUUCUUAAUGGAAAUGCUAUGCUCGCACAACUUAUGACUUACAAAUCUAAUAUUGACAAUGACAAUGAAAUUUGAUUGAAAAGUAAAAUUUGUUAGCUAUCUUCUUUAAGUUUGUGCAAUUUGUCACUGAUGCAGAUGAAUAGGGAUUGCAGAACAAUGGGCUCUAAAGAGUCCAGCCUAUUUCUACAGAGAGGAGAUUAUGUUCCUGGUUUGAAGAUUCUACUAGUCAUUCUAUAUGCAUCCGUCAAAAAGUGCAGGUUCCACACUGUUUCCAAUAGUUUUUGAUGGUACAGGGUAUAGAUCAUAGAGAUGAGUUGUACUUAGGGCAUUAUCGCUGAAGAGUAUGACUGAUUUCAUCAAUGGAAAGGUUAAGAAACCAGAUCCAGAGGAUUCCACAUAUGCACAAUCGGAAAGAUGUGAUAAUAUGGUGACUUCAUGGAUCCUCAACUCCUUCUCACCAAAUUUGAGGGGAUGAUUUACAGUAUGUUAAUAAUGCUAAGGAACUCUGGGAAGAGUUAAAGGAUAGAUAUGAUUAGGAAAAUGGUGCGAAAUUGUAUCAACAUCAAAGGGAAAUUACUUGGUUCACGGGAGAAUCGACAUCAUUGGAUAGUACGCAAAGAUGAAGAAACUUUGGGAGGAAAUGAGCACACUUGACACAAACUCUUAGUGCAUAUGUGGUGGAAAAACUAAGAUGCACAAAGCUGAGCAGGAUAGGUGUGAUUCAAUUUUUGAUGGGAUUAAAUUAAGUUUACACUAGUAUAAGAGGUAGUAUUUUGAUGAUAAAUCCAUUGCCUAGCAAGGCACCGGAAUUUGCAAUUUUGUCUCAAGAGGAGAAGUAAAGAGAAGUGAAACCUCACAACCUCACUGUUUUGGAAUCCACCUCCUUGAAUGUUGCUUCUAGUACUCAUAAUGCAACCUUUAGAACAAACUAUAACACAUACAAAGGUGCUUCCACUAGUGGAAGUAAUAUUUAUAGAAGUCCUCCUCCACUUGGAAACAACAAUAGGAUUACAUAUCCUCAAAGUAGCUCUUAUCCACAGAACAUGUCACAUCUAUUUUAUGACUACUGCAGGAGACAUGGGCAUACUAGAGACAAGUGAUACAAAAUACAUGGUUAUCCCCAGAAUUUCAAAUUCACAAGAGGAAAGAACACAGGAUCUGUAGCUAAUGUGCACACUAAUGAAGCUGAGAAAGGAUACUAUGAGGAGAAACAUGAAACUAACAGGGAAGGAAAAAUGAAUCUGUUAAUGGAUCAAUAUGAACAACUGUUGAACCUGUUGGGAAACUUGAAAUCUAGAAAAGGAAGUACAGACAAUUCAAAUAAGAUUCUCAGUAGAGCUGUAAACAAGCAGGUAUAUUGGCUUGCUACACUUCAAUAACUAAAAUUGGUGGACUGUCAUGUAACUGUGCUAGAAUAACUUCUAAUUCAUGGAUUAUAGAUUCAGAAGCUUCAUAUCACCUGACCUAUAACAAAACCACACUUAAGAAAGUUAGAACCUUACCAUAUUCCUUGCCAGUAUCCCUACCAAAUGGUUAUAAAUUUAAAAUAACUGAGAUUGGUGAUGCUUUCCUGAAUCCAGCAUUGACAUUAUGUAGAAUCUUGUUUGUACCUAGUUUCAAAUUUAAUUUGAUUUCAGUUCACUGCUUGGCUUUGCAACUUAGAGGAAUCUUUAGUUUUGACAGUUCUUCUUGUCUGAUGCAGGGCCCUUCUUUGAAGAGCCCUUUGGAAAUUGGAAGAAUAAGAAAUGGUUGUAUUUUCUAUGCUCAAAGUGUCACACUUGUUGCUCACCUUCUGUUAGUAACUGUUUCAGUUCAAGUUCUUCA
This is a long non-coding RNA of Lycium ferocissimum, 2242 nucleotides long. RefSeq lists it as uncharacterized. NCBI's taxonomy places the organism in Eukaryota, Viridiplantae, Streptophyta, Magnoliopsida, Solanales, Solanaceae. The transcript has 2 exons. The record is from RefSeq and is a predicted model, not a curated record.